Molecule: small nucleolar RNA, 79 nt
Organism: Macaca fascicularis (crab-eating macaque)
Lineage: Eukaryota; Metazoa; Chordata; Mammalia; Primates; Cercopithecidae
Gene: U3
Rfam family: Small nucleolar RNA U3
About the family: Small nucleolar RNAs (snoRNAs) are involved in the processing and modification of rRNA in the nucleolus. There are two main classes of snoRNAs: the box C/D class, and the box H/ACA class. U3 snoRNA is a member of the box C/D class.
Source: Ensembl
AAGACUAUACUUUCAGGGAUCAUUUCUAUAGUUCGUUACUAGAAAAGUUUUUCUGAACAUGUAGAGCACUGACAGAAAC